AUGCCCAGAGCUGUGCCAGCAGCCCGCCCCCAAGCUAUCCUAACGCCCAGGCCACCAGUCCCAUGGGGACAACGCCCAGCCAGGGCCUGGAGCCACCAGCAGUGCUGGGAGGAGGCUCUCUGCACACAGGACCUUUCCCCUCAGCACAGACCAGGCUGCUCUCCCGCCCCGCUCCAUGCUGGAGACCUGCCAGCUGCCCCCAGGUGGGACACAAAGGGGGACACGCAGCGCGUUGCUCACAGCCGGCCUCGUCGCUGCCGUCCGUGCAGUCAGCCUCUCCGUCACACCGCCAGGCCUUGGGGACGCACUCGUGGCCCCGGGAGCAGCCCCACUGCUGGUCACGGCACAGCCCUUCCUCCCUGGGACAGCCCUCCUCGUCCCAGCCGUCCUCGCAGUCCUGGUGCCGGUCGCACAGCUCCCAGUGCGGGAUGCAGUGGUGAGUGCCGGGACACUGCAGCUUCUUCGCCCCGCACACUGAGGGGACGGAGCAGCACUCACACCUCACCCGGCGCCCCCGGACACCCCCGCUCAGCCCCUCGGCGACCACCCACCGCAGUCCUGCUCGUCAGAGCCGUCCGGGCAGUCGGCAGCGCCGUCGCAACGCCAGCUGCUGGAAACACACCGGCCGUCGUCGCACUGCCACGCGUGGGGGUCCCCGCCGCAGGGAGCAUCUGUGGGGACAGCGCACGGUCACUGGGGACCCGCCACGGCUCUUGGAACAACCGCAACAGCCCCCCUGUCCCGGCAACGUCCAAGGAGGCUCCGGAACGCGUCCCCGUGCCCAGGAGCCCUGGGGCGCUACCCAGUGCGGGACGGGGCCCCCCAAAACCGCCCCCCACACACGCUCGCUCACCGCAGAUCUCGUCCGUCCCGUCGGGACACUGCCGCUCUCCGUCGCAGAGCCAGGGCACGGGGAUGCAGCCGGCCCCGCAGGCGGCCUGACGCGAGGCAGCACACGGGGGGCCGGCGGGGGCUGCGGGAGGAAGCCGCGCGGGUGCUCAGCCACGCAGCACCCCCCUUCUCCCAGUACAGGGACCCCGAGGGGGGGCGUGCAGGCAGAGCCCCCAGCCCCGCCGCCCCCCC
RNAcentral lists this long non-coding RNA (1083 nucleotides) under Anser cygnoides (Swan goose). RNAcentral's name for it is "lncRNA (ENSACDG00005015078.1)". The record is from RNAcentral. Lineage: Eukaryota; Metazoa; Chordata; Aves; Anseriformes; Anatidae.